UGGUUCGUUCAUACCUAGGCUAUUGCGCCGGAUCCCAUCAGACCUCCGAAGCUAAACGCCUGUGGGCGAGAAUACCUAGUACCGGAAUGGGUGACCUUCCGGGAAGUCCUCGUGACGAACCCA
This 123-nucleotide ribosomal RNA is filed under the name Klebsormidium nitens. Lineage: Eukaryota; Viridiplantae; Streptophyta; Klebsormidiophyceae; Klebsormidiales; Klebsormidiaceae. The record is from RNAcentral.